Molecule: ribosomal RNA, 119 nt
Filed under: Fasciola gigantica
Lineage: Eukaryota; Metazoa; Platyhelminthes; Trematoda; Plagiorchiida; Fasciolidae
Source: RNAcentral
GCGACCAUACCACGUUGGAAACACCGGUUCUCGUCUGAUCACCGAAGUUAAGCAACGUGCGGGCCCUGUUUAGUACUUGCACUGGGUGACCGGUGGGAAUCCGGGUGGUUGCGGCCGUU